RNAcentral lists this ribosomal RNA (387 nucleotides) under Triticum aestivum (bread wheat). RNAcentral describes it as "partial small subunit ribosomal RNA". The record is from RNAcentral. Lineage: Eukaryota; Viridiplantae; Streptophyta; Magnoliopsida; Poales; Poaceae.
AUGGCUGCUAAAUACUAUCCAAACCAGAAUCUGUUACAAGCGAGGCCAAGAGAUGGCAUUUCAUAUAGUUGGAGAAGCAUUUUGAAAGGAGUACAAGUGUUGCAAAGUGGAAUCAUAUGGAGAGUGGGAGAUGGACACAAUAUCAAUAUAUGGGCAUAUCCUUGGCUACCAAGGGGUGUUUCUAGGAGAGUAACAUCUCAGCAACGCAGCCAUGUUAUCACAAAGGUUUUAGAUUUGAUUGACCCUACCUCUGGCACAUGGGAUUUACAACUGAUUGAUCAAACUUUCAACAAAGAAGUUGUAGAGGUAAUUGUCCAAAUUCCGAUCCGAGAGGGCGCUAAAGACACUCCUGCCUGGCAUUUUGACAAAAAGGUAUAUUUUCAGUAA